RNAcentral lists this ribosomal RNA (212 nucleotides) under uncultured bacterium. RNAcentral's name for it is "partial 16S ribosomal RNA". It matches the Rfam family "Bacterial small subunit ribosomal RNA", at positions 1292 to 1500 of the family's 1533-position model. The record is from RNAcentral.
UUCGGAUUGCAGGCUGNAACCCGCCUGUAUGAAGUUGGAAUCGCUAGUAAUCGCGGAUCAGCAUGCCGCGGUGAAUACGUUCCCGGGCCUUGUACACACCGCCCGUCCACACCAUGAGAGUCGGGAACACCCGAAGUCCGUAGUCUAACUUUCACGAGAGGACGCGGCCGAAGGUGGGUUCGAUAAUUGGGGUGAAGUCGUAACAAGGUAAC